RNAcentral lists this ribosomal RNA (249 nucleotides) under uncultured Actinomycetes bacterium. RNAcentral describes it as "uncultured actinobacterium partial 16S ribosomal RNA". It matches the Rfam family "Bacterial small subunit ribosomal RNA", at positions 32 to 276 of the family's 1533-position model. The record is from RNAcentral. Lineage: Bacteria; Bacillati; Actinomycetota; Actinomycetes.
AACGCUGGCGGCGCGCUUAAUACAUGCAAGUCGAGCGACGAAAGGGCCUUCGGGCCCCUGAAAGCGGCGAACGGGUGAGUAACACGUGGGUAACCUACCCUCGGUUUCGGGAUAGCCCGGGGAAACUCGGAUUAAUACCGAAUGGCCUCUAGGGUUCUCGGAUCCUGGAGAAAAGGUAGCUUAGGCCUCCGACCGAGGACGGGCCCGCGGCCGAUUAGCUUGUUGGCGGGGUAACGCCCACCAAGGCGA